Molecule: long non-coding RNA, 757 nt
Filed under: Homo sapiens (human)
Lineage: Eukaryota; Metazoa; Chordata; Mammalia; Primates; Hominidae
Description: F11 antisense RNA 1
Source: RNAcentral
AGUGCAGAGGAACACACACUUGCUCCGGUAGGGGCAGAACACGAGUUUUCUCUCUGCCCUCCAACCUUCUUAGCUGAGACUCCCUGUAACAAAGACCGAGUAAGAAGAGAAAAACAAACAGAAGUUUAUUAGUAUGUGUAGCUCGUGUGCACUUGGGAGGCACCCAGAGAACUGAGUAUGUCUCUGGAGUUGAUCUCAAACAGGUAGUUUAAACUUCAGGCUUAGAAACCUUCUCCAUGGUUCAGGAGUCUAGAGAUCUAGUCGUUCUUCUCUCUCUGGUGCAGAGAGGAAGGCACCCUUACAAAUGGACAGUUCCUUUAUUGACGGACAUUUCCUUUACAAAAUGUGAUUUUGUAUAUCUGUACUGGGAGCUGGAGGGAGAGUGAAAUACGUAACCCUGAGAGUGAAAGUUAGAAAAAUCUACGUGAAUCACAGAGGCAUUUGCCAAGAUCGGCUCAGAGAAAAGAACAUCAUGGUGGCUCACUCCUGUAAUCCCAGUGCUUUGGGAGGCUGAGGCUGGAGGAUUGCUUGAGGCCAGGAGUUCGAGACCAGCUUGACAACAUAGCAAGACUCCGUCUCUACACAAAUGGCUAUAGCCCCAGCUACUUGGAAGGCCGAGGUGGGAGAAUCGCUUGAGCCCAGGAGGUUGAGGUUGCAGUGAGCCAUAACUGCACCACCGCACUCCAGCCUGAGCAGCAGAGUGAGACUCUGUCUCAAAAAAUAAAUAAAAAUUAAAAAAAGGACAUCAGGUUCAGCA